This 22-nucleotide small RNA is filed under the name Arabidopsis thaliana (thale cress). RNAcentral's name for it is "ATSL305560". Lineage: Eukaryota; Viridiplantae; Streptophyta; Magnoliopsida; Brassicales; Brassicaceae. The record is from RNAcentral.
UUUUCCUUUUUUUUUUGCUUUG